GAGUGAACGCUGGCGGUAGGCCUAACACGUGCAAGUCGAACGGCAGCACAGUAAGAGCUUGCUCUUACGGGUGGCGAGUGGCGGACGGGUGAGGAAUACAUCGGAAUCUACUUUUUCGUGGGGGAUAACGUAGGGAAACUUACGCUAAUACCGCAUACGACCUACGGGUGAAAGCAGGGGAUCUUCGGACCUUGCGCGAUUGAAUGAGCCGAUGUCGGAUUAGCUAGUUGGCGGGGUAAAGGCCCACCAAGGCGACGAUCCGUAGCUGGUCUGGGAGGAUGAUCAGCCACACUGGAACUGAGACACGGUCCAGACUCCUACGGGAGGCAGCAGUGGGGAAUAUUGGACAAAGGGCGCAAGCCUGAUCCAGCCAUACCGCGUGGGUGAAGAAGGCCUUCGGGUUGUAAAGCCCUUUUGUUGGGAAAGAAAAGCAGCAGGUUAAUACCCCGCUGUUCUGACGGUACCCAAAGAAUAAGCACCGGCUAACUUCGUG
This 493-nucleotide ribosomal RNA is filed under the name uncultured bacterium. RNAcentral's name for it is "partial 16S ribosomal RNA". It matches the Rfam family "Bacterial small subunit ribosomal RNA", at positions 27 to 507 of the family's 1533-position model. The record is from RNAcentral.